This 463-nucleotide ribosomal RNA is filed under the name uncultured bacterium. Its description in RNAcentral is "partial 16S ribosomal RNA". It matches the Rfam family "Bacterial small subunit ribosomal RNA", at positions 28 to 507 of the family's 1533-position model. The record is from RNAcentral.
GACGAACGCUGGCGGCGUGCUUAACACAUGCAAGUCGAACGGUGAACCUCUUCGGAGGGGAUCAGUGGCGAACGGGUGAGUAACACGUGGGCAACCUGCCCCCGGCUCUGGGAUAACUCCAAGAAAUUGGGGCUAAUACCGGAUGUUCACCGCUUCCCGCAUGGGUGGUGGUGAAAAGGGUUUCCGGCUGGGGAUGGGCCCGCGGCCUAUCAGCUUGUUGGUGGGGUAGUGGCCUACCAAGGCGACGACGGGUAGCCGGCCUGAGAGGGUGACCGGCCACAAUGGGACGGGGACGGGGCCGGGACGCCAGCGGGACGCAGCAGCGCGGAGUGGGGCGGGAUGGGCGUAGGGCUGACACCGCCACGCCGCGUGGGGGAGGCGGGCCUGCGGGUUGUAGGCGUCUAUCAGCAGGGACGAAACGCAAGGGCCGGUACGUGCAGAAGAGGGACCGGCCCUUUAGGUG